GACGAACGCUGGCGGCGUGCUUAACACAUGCAAGUCGAACGGAAAGGCCCUGCUUUCAGGGUACUCGAGUGGCGAACGGGUGAGUAACACGUGGGUGAUCUGCCCUCCACUUCGGGAUAAGCCUGGGAAACUGGGUCUAAUACCGGAUAGGAGCCAUUUUUAUUGUGAUGGUUGGAAAGUUUUUUCGGGGUAGGAUGAGCUCGCGGGCUAUCAGCUUGUUGGUGGGGUAAUGGCCUACCAAGGCGGCGGCGGGUAGCCGGCCUGGGAGGGUGGACGGCCACAUUGGGACUGAGAUACGGCCCAAACUGCUACGGGAGGGAGCAGGGGGGAAUAAUGCACAAUGGGCGCAAGGCUGAUGCAGCGACGCCGCGUGGGGGAUGACGGCCUUCGGGUUGUAAAACCCUUUCGCUAGGGACGAAGCUUUUUGUGACGGUACCUAGAUAAGAAGCACCGGCUAACUACGUG
RNAcentral lists this ribosomal RNA (465 nucleotides) under uncultured bacterium. RNAcentral's name for it is "partial 16S ribosomal RNA". It matches the Rfam family "Bacterial small subunit ribosomal RNA", at positions 28 to 507 of the family's 1533-position model. The record is from RNAcentral.